AUUGAACGCUGGCGGCAGGCCUAACACAUGCAAGUCGAGCGAGCGGCGGACGGGUGUGUAAUGCCUGGGAAUUGCCCAGUCGGGGGGGAUAACAGUUGGACACGGCUUCUCAUCCCUCAUACGAUUUGCAUGCCUAGGUGGGGUUAGCUAGUUGGUGAGGUAAUGGCUCACCAAGGCGACGAUCCCUAGCUGUUCUGAGAGGAUGAUCAGCCAAACUGGAACUGAGACACGGUCCAGACUCCUACGGGAGGCAGCAGUGGGGAAUAUUGCACAAUGGGGGAAACCCUGAUGCAGCCAUGCCGCGUGUGUGAAGAAGGCCUUCGGGUUGUAAAGCACUUUCAGCGAGGAGGCGUUACCCGCAGAAGAAGCACCGGCGAACUCCGUGCCAGCAGCCGCGGUAAUAC
Molecule: ribosomal RNA, 404 nt
Filed under: uncultured bacterium
Lineage: Bacteria
Description: partial 16S ribosomal RNA
Rfam family: Bacterial small subunit ribosomal RNA
Source: RNAcentral